Long non-coding RNA from Rhipicephalus microplus (southern cattle tick), 241 nucleotides. Lineage: Eukaryota; Metazoa; Arthropoda; Arachnida; Ixodida; Ixodidae. The record is from RefSeq and is a predicted model, not a curated record.
UGAAAAGUCAAGGUGUCCUCGAAUUGCUGAUGAUGUCAGUAGACUCAUGGGUCCAUAAUGAAUGUCUUUGCCUGAAGUCGACACGUCUCAAAGAUGCUGCGGAAGGAGCUAAGCGAACCGUUGAGUGUUAUGCUUACAGGAAAUGGAUUUCUCCUCCUGUCAGAAUAGCUCGUAUACGUCGUCUUCAAAAAUUGACGAAACUAUCAAGGAACAUUGAAGUUACAGUGAAGAACAAGACAGG